GGGGAAUAUUGCGCAAUGGGCGAAAGCCUGACGCAGCGAGGCCGCGUGAGGGAUGAAGGCCUUCGGGUCGUAAACCUCUGUCAGGAGGGAAGAACCGCCAUGGUGCUAAUCAGCCAUGGUCUGACGGUACCUCCAAAGGAAGCACCGGCUAACUCCGUGCCAGCAGCCGCGGUAAUACGGAGGGUGCAAGCGUUAAUCGGAAUCACUGGGCGUAAAGCGCACGUAGGCUGUUUGGUAAGGCAGGGGUGAAAUCCCGCGGCUCAACCGCGGAUUUGCCUUGAUACUGGUGGACUUGAGCUCGGGUGAGGGUGGCGGGAUUCCGGGCGUAGGAGGGAAAACCGUAGAUAUCUGGAGGAACAUAAGUGGCGAAGGCGACCACCUGGACCGAUACUGACGCUGAGGUGCGAACGCGUGGGGAGCAAACA
RNAcentral lists this ribosomal RNA (425 nucleotides) under uncultured Desulfovibrionales bacterium. RNAcentral describes it as "bacterial SSU rRNA". It matches the Rfam family "Bacterial small subunit ribosomal RNA", at positions 356 to 774 of the family's 1533-position model. The record is from RNAcentral. Lineage: Bacteria; Pseudomonadati; Thermodesulfobacteriota; Desulfovibrionia; Desulfovibrionales.